GCCCUCGUGGUGUAGUGGUCAGCACGCUCGACGCGUAUUCGAGAGGUUCGAAUCCCGACGAGGGCA
This is a non-coding RNA of Stegodyphus mimosarum, 66 nucleotides long. The record is from Rfam. Lineage: Eukaryota; Metazoa; Arthropoda; Arachnida; Araneae; Eresidae.